This 82-nucleotide transfer RNA is filed under the name Candidatus Poribacteria bacterium. Its description in RNAcentral is "tRNA-Tyr". It matches the Rfam family "tRNA". Rfam says of the family: Transfer RNA (tRNA) molecules are approximately 80 nucleotides in length. Their secondary structure includes four short double-helical elements and three loops (D, anti-codon, and T loops). Lineage: Bacteria; Candidatus Poribacteria. The record is from RNAcentral.
GGGGGUAUGCUAGAGCGGUCAAAUAGGGCAGACUGUAAAUCUGUUGGCUAUGCCUACGGUGGUUCGAAUCCAUCAGCCCCCA